GAAGUAAAAGUCGUAACAAGGUUUCCGUAGGUGAACCUGCGGAAGGAUCAUUAAUGAAUUCACUAUGGAGUUGUUGCUGGCCUCUAGGGGCAUGUGCACGCUUCACUAGUCUUUCAACCACCUGUGAACUUUUGAUAGAUCUGUGAAGUCGUCCUUCAAGUCGUCAGACUUGGUUUGCUGGGAUUUAAACGUCUCGGUGUGACAACGCAGUCUAUUUACUUAACACACCCCAAAUGUAUGUCUACGAAUGUCAUUUAAUGGGCCUUGUGCCUAUAAACCAUAAUACAACUUUCAACAACGGAUCUCUUGGCUCUCGCAUCGAUGAAGAACGCAGCGAAAUGCGAUAAGUAAUGUGAAUUGCAGAAUUCAGUGAAUCAUCGAAUCUUUGAACGCACCUUGCGCCCCUUGGUAUUCCGAGGGGCAUGCCUGUUUGAGUGUCAUUAAAUUCUCAAACUCACAUUUAUUUGUGAUGUUUGGAUUGUUGGGGGUUGCUGGCUGUAACAAGUCGGCUCCUCUUAAAUGCAUUAGCAGGACUUCUCAUUGCCUCUGCGCAUGAUGUGAUAAUUAUCACUCAUCAAUAGCACGCAUGAAUAGAGUCCAGCUCUCUAAUCGUCCGCAAGGACAAUUUGACAAUUUGACCUCAAAUCAGGUAGGACUACCCGCUGAACUUAAGCAUAUCAAUAAGCGGAGGA
RNAcentral lists this ribosomal RNA (692 nucleotides) under Pleurotus sapidus. RNAcentral's name for it is "eukaryotic LSU rRNA". The stretch from base 287 to 440 matches the Rfam family "5.8S ribosomal RNA". The record is from RNAcentral. Lineage: Eukaryota; Fungi; Basidiomycota; Agaricomycetes; Agaricales; Pleurotaceae.